RNAcentral lists this ribosomal RNA (666 nucleotides) under uncultured bacterium. RNAcentral describes it as "bacterial SSU rRNA". It matches the Rfam family "Bacterial small subunit ribosomal RNA", at positions 778 to 1431 of the family's 1533-position model. The record is from RNAcentral.
UUAGAUACCCUGGUAGUCCUAGCCGUAAACGGUGCACGUUUGCUGUAAAAGGAAUCGACCCCUUUUGUGGCGCAGCCAACGCGUUAAACGUGCCGCCUGGGAAGUACGGUCGCAAGAUUAAAACUCAAAGAAAUUGACGGGGGCCUGCACAAGCGGUGGAGUAUGUGGCUCAAUUCGAUGCAACGCGAAGAACCUUACCUGGCCUUGACAUGUACGUAGUAGAAGGGUGAAAGCCUGACGAGGUAGCAAUACCAGCGUACACAGGUGCUGCAUGGCUGUCGUCAGCUCGUGUCGUGAGAUGUUGGGUUAAGUCCCGCAACGAGCGCAACCCUUGUGUCCUGUUGCCAAGCCCCGAGCAAUCGGGGCAGCACUCUGGACAGACUGCCUCGCUUAAACGAGGAGGAAGGUGGGGAUGACGUCAAGUCAGUAUGGCCCUUACGGCCAGGGCUGCACACGUACUACAAUGCCCGGCACAAAGGGAAGCGAGACCGUCAGGUGGAGCAAAUCCCCUAAAACCGGGCUCAGUUCAGAUUGUCGUCUGCAACUCGACGGCAUGAAGCUGGAAUCGCUAGUAAUGGCGCAUCAGCUACGGCGCCGUGAAUACGUUCCCAGGCCUUGUACACACCGCCCGUCACAUCAUGAAAGCCGUUUGUACCCGAAGUCGCC